GUUCUGGAAUCUUUUCUUCAGCAUUCUGUCAGAUAGUCUUACAGCAUGUUCUUUGAAGCACAACUCACAGUUCCUUUUUGAUAUCUGCCUUUUGCCAUCUAUGGACAAUUAUGAUUCUUUGUCUGGUUGUUUCUAAUAUUGAGCUGGAAUAUAUCCCUCCAUAGCUUCUCACUGGUCCACAUUGUAUUCUCUACUCAGAGGUGUUGGUGAUCCAGUAGAAAUAUCAUCCAAGAAAGUGGGUCAAUGAUGAGUCUCAGCUUUGCUGGUUUGGGGGUUGGGUUAGAAGAAGCCAAUCCAAGAUGAAGAGGCAAAUGAUAUGAGAAGCUUGUUCGGUCCAUCCCUGUAGAGGAGGGGCCAAGAGGACUCCAGAAAUGCUCUCCCGUGGAGGAGGAAAGAUGACCUCUUCCAGAUUAAAGCUGCCUGGGGCUGAGCAGAGACUGGUUUCUUUAGCUGGGCAGGAGGCUCUCUAACCUCAAACUUUAACGAACCUAUUAAUAACUUGGUGAUUUUAGUAAAAUACAGAUUCUGAUUCACUGGUUUGAGGUUGGGUUCCAGAUUCUGAGUUUCCACAAUUCUUCUGUGUGAUGCCCGUGCGCCAGGUCCCCUGACCUCACCCUGAGCGCAGCACUCUAGGAGACUCGCGGUGCAUACCUGCUCAGGGGAGCCAGAAUCCUCUGAGUCAAGUUAGUCAAGUCAGAGUUUUCCAAACUUGCUUUAUCAUAAUCGCCUGGGAGUUCUUCUUGUAAAUAUAGAUUACCACUUCUAAUUUCACGUGUGCUAAAUAAUACUUUUUAGGAAAAAGGCUUAGAAUUUUAUUUUUUAUUUUCAGUAAAUACCCCAGGUGGUUCUUAUGAUUAGCAAGUUUGCGAAACAUGAACUUAACGCGGUGUUUUUCCUGGUCGGUCUUCAGCCCGCAGCCAGGCUGACAGCACCAGCAUCCGCUCUCCUGAGGAGCUGACUGGAAAUGAGCUUGGAUAUUCUCACUGAACGUUAGAACUCAGAUCUCCCCAAGACCCCGAUGCGCCCCCGGCUUGACACCUAUCACAGCAUGGCUUGCCACUCGGUGCCAUGUCCGCACCCGGGAUCCAAACUGGUGAACCCCGGGCUGUCAGAGCAGAAUGUGUGAAUUUAACUGCUGGGCCACUGGGUCAGCCCCUAUAAGCUAACCCACGAGUGGUGAACCUCUGUGAUUCUUUGCUUGAUCAAAGGCACCUCCACCUAGACUCAGGAUCCAACUACUGCUGGAGACCAAACAGCCAGGAAGUGGCAAUGCUGGGACUUGAACAGAGGCCAUUGCCCACACUUGGUGGAUGCCCUGUGCAAAUGCUCACCUUUGCGAUGCCAUCUGGAACUCACAGUUGUGAGGCUGCUGAGGAAGAGGAAGAGAGGACUGGAGUAUUGCAAGGCUGGUUUUUCAGGCCGGUGUUUGAGAGUAACUUACAUUUCAAAUGUCAUUGGCCGGAAGUGAGUCACACAAUCCCCAACUUCAUUUCAAGGAAGGCAGAGAAGAGUAUGGUGAAGACCCGUCUCCAUCAUCAUGGUGGUGUUUUGGUCCUAUGUCUGCAAAGUUUCUCUCCAUCUCAAGAUUAAAGAACUACUACUAAGAAUAAUGAUGAUAAUGAUAAUGAUAAUCAUUUUUGUUAUUAUUUAAAAUUUUCUUUUUCUUUCUAUAAACAAAAUGACUCUAAAAUGUUCACUAUUAAAUUAAAUGAAAAAUGAUUCUUCUAAUCCACAGUUUUCCUGCAUCUUGAGGUAGUCAUUUUUAUACAUUUUGACACAACAACUUGCUAAAAUUUAGCUCAGGUCACUAUGGUUCCUUUAUAUUGGUGUAAAAAUACCCUGUGGCAUUAUAGUUACAGGUAUAGUAAGCCAAUAAUCUGACACAAGUUUUAUUUAGCAGUAAUUCGUCAUUUGUUGUAAUUUCAAUGAAAAUUUAUUGAGAGUUUAUUAUGUGCUUGUCUCUUCCAUUUGUGCUCCUAUAAAGGUGAGUAAGGCAGAAUUUCCGGUCUACCCAUGUGUAGUUGGUUGAAUGGUUGCACCCCAGAAAAAUAUCACCAUGUUCUAUCUUCCAGAAUUUAUCCAGGUAACCAUAAUUGGAAAAAGGGUCAUUGCAGAGGUAAUUAAAUUAAGGCUGUGCAGAUGAGAUCAUCAUGGAUUAUCCAGCUAGGACCCAAAUCCAAUGACAAGUGAACUUACAAGAAAAAUAAUAGAGGGAGAUUUGACAGAGACAGAAGAGGAGGGAACACACAAACAGAGGAGGAGGCAAUAUGAAGAAGGAAGCAGAAACUGGAGUUAUGCAGCCAUCAGCCAAGAAUCAUCUGGAGGCAGCAGAAGCUGGAAAAGCCAAAGAAGGAUUCUUCCCUAGAGCCUUUAGAGGGAGCAUGGCCUUCUGACACCUUGAUCUUGUAGCUUUGGCCUCCAGAAUUGUUAUGGAAUAAUUUUCUGUUGAUUUAAGCCAUGAG
Molecule: long non-coding RNA, 2462 nt
Filed under: Equus caballus (horse)
Lineage: Eukaryota; Metazoa; Chordata; Mammalia; Perissodactyla; Equidae
Description: lncRNA (ENSECAG00000049741.1)
Source: RNAcentral